Molecule: ribosomal RNA, 438 nt
Filed under: Triticum aestivum (bread wheat)
Lineage: Eukaryota; Viridiplantae; Streptophyta; Magnoliopsida; Poales; Poaceae
Description: partial small subunit ribosomal RNA
Source: RNAcentral
AUGACUAGGGAUAACCUUAGGAAGAGACACAUCAUCAAACCCCUUGGUUGUGUUUACUGCUUGGAAUAAGAGUCUUGUUCUCACCUAUUUUUUGAAUGUAUAGUUGCUAAACAUCUCUGGGCCCACAUUGAGGAAUAUUUCUCUAGUCAGAUUGGCUCAUCCUUCGAAUCUGUUGCUAGAUUCUGGAUUGCUACCAAAAAGUGCUCAGUUUUAAAUACUGUUAGCUCAGCUGUCCUUUGGUGCCUCUGGAAAUAUAGAAAAGCUAUGAUUUUCAAUAACACCUCCUGGAUUUCCAUUCCGCAGAUCUUGAGGUUGAUCAGGAACAUGGUCAGGAACUGGGCGAUUCUCUCCUCCGGAUCGGACAAGGACACGUUGAUGAGCUUCGUGAAAACCCUAACAAGAUCCCUCCAAAAACUGUUGGCGAUCACUUGUGGCUGA